UAGGUGGAAACCAGUCAGAGACUGAAGUCAGGCAGAAACAACAGCUCCAACUGAUGCAGUCUAAAUACCAGCAAAAGCUAAAAAGAGAAGAAUCUGUAAGAAUCAAGAAGGAAGCUGAAGAAGCUGAACUUCAAAAAAUGAAAGCAAUUCAGAGAGAGAAGAGCAAUAAACUAGAGGAGAAAAAGAGACUUCAAGAAAACCUCAGAAGAGAAGCAUUUAGAGAGCAUCAGCAAUA
This is a long non-coding RNA of Galeopterus variegatus (Sunda flying lemur), 235 nucleotides long. RefSeq lists it as uncharacterized. NCBI's taxonomy places the organism in Eukaryota, Metazoa, Chordata, Mammalia, Dermoptera, Cynocephalidae. The record is from RefSeq and is a predicted model, not a curated record. The transcript has 3 exons.